This 5950-nucleotide long non-coding RNA is filed under the name Brassica napus (rape). Its description in RNAcentral is "long non-coding RNA (BNAP_LNC001605)". Lineage: Eukaryota; Viridiplantae; Streptophyta; Magnoliopsida; Brassicales; Brassicaceae. The record is from RNAcentral.
AUUGAGUAGAGAUAACCUCUUACCAAAACUGUCUCUGUUUCUGAAACAGAAAACUGCAUUUUCAACAGAAAAAUCUGCAACUUCUUUGGUUCUUCUUGUUCUUCAAGAUGUGUGAAUGAGAUGCUUCCAUGUACACCAGAAUGAGCCUUAUAACUCCUUCCUCUCACGUGCUGUUCACCAAUAGACAGCUUGUCUUUCAGCCUGAGACAUUCAAGUCUCCAUACCUUCCUCAAAACCUGAGAAAUACCAUGAUGCUUCACCAAGAAAGAGUCUUAUGGCUUAUUCCUCUCUUUAGCAUCAUUUACCAAGAGCUACUGCUUUGUUGUUCCUCCUGAGACAUCACUUGUCUCUACAAAACCAGCUCUCCAAGAAAAGGACGUGGCUUCUUAACAGGAAAAGGAGCCUUGCUGCUCCAACUUUCCAAAGAUCCAACCUUUCUCACUUUUCUUCACUCUCCUCCUUUCUCUAGAUCUUCUCUCCUUUAGAUCUGAAUCUUCUUUCUCUCUUUCUUCUGGAUCUGAGACUUUCUCUCUUGAAAUCUCAGUGAUCUCCAAAGCUUCACUCAUGCUUAGAAUCUCCUCAUAACCCAUGAGUUUCUCCUUCCAUAAAACACAGCUUCCAUAACCUUCGAAGCUUCCACUUCUCUUCUUGACAAAAAACAUGAUUCUUGACUUGAGAACCAUAAAACACAGAACCAAGGCUCUGAUACCACUUUGUUAGGAUUCAGAGGCUUAAAGACAUCACUUUGUCUCAGCAUAAACCCACAACAAACCAAGAUAGAAGUUGCUGGAAGUCCAAAAUAGAGACUGCAUAAAACAGAGUUGUAGAGAGUAUGAAGAAGAGAAUAGAGAGAAGGAGAAGAUGGGAGCACACACACAAUUUAAGGAGUUCGCGCCCGUUAACGAGGGUCACUACAUCUCCCCGAGACUACAGCUCGGAAUCCACUAGAAGGUAUAACAUAGUUACAAAGAUACAAGUGAUUCACUCAUCAUAUCACUCAUGAACUCACUCUAAUGUAUCUUACUAUGCUCUAAUGAGAAAACCCAAAGCUAGGCUUAAGCUCACAUGUUUCUCUCACCCUUCUAAGCUCUUUGUGUGGCUCAAUCUCUCUCUCACGUUCUCAGCCUCCCUUUAUAGUGGAGACACCUUCAAACCUAAUGCACAAGAGGACAAAAUGGAGAGGCUCCUCCUUGUGGUCCCAAAAGUAACUUAACCCAUCUUCAACUCACCAUACUAACUUGAGUUAAGCCUUGGAUUACUUUUGAUCUUCAUUUGCUUGAUCAACAAGUGUUCUUAUCUUCACAAAUCUCCACCUAAGAACAUGUUGAUCAACCCAAACAACUUGCACAUACUUGAGAGAGAGAGUUUCUUCUUCUAGCUUCUUGGAUUCCAGUCUCGGCUUCUGAGUAUCACUACUCAUCCUUGAUCCUUAGCAGCUUCAAAGGUUUCAGAGGCUUAAAGACAUCACUUUGUCUCAGCAUAAACCCACAACAAACCAAGAUAGAAGUUGCUUGAAGUCCAAAAAUAGAAUGCUGUAAAAAACAUAGUUGUAGAGAGUAUGAAGAAGAGAAUAGAGAGAAGGAGAAGAUGGGAGCACACACACAAUUUAAGGAGUUCGCGCCCGUUAACGAGGGUCACUACAUCUCCCCGAGACUACAGCUCGGAAUCCACUAGAAGGUAUAACAUAGUUACAAAGAUACAAGUGAUUCACUCAUCAUAUCACUCAUGAACUCACUCUAAUGUAUCUUACUAUGCUCUAAUGAGAAAACCCAAAGCUAGGCUUAAGCUCACAUGUUUCUCUCACCCUUCUAAGUUCUUUGUGUGGCUCAAUCUCUCUCUCACGUUCUCAGCCUCCCUUUAUAGUAGAGACAUCUUUAAACCUAAUACACAAGAGGACAAAAUGGAGAGGCUCCUCCUUGUGGUCCCAAAAGUAACUUAACCCAUCUUCAACUCACCAUACUAACUUGAGUUAAGCCUUGGAUUACUUUUGAUCUUCAUUUGCUUGAUAAACAAGUGUUCUCAUCUUCACAAAUCUCCACCUGAGAACAUGUUGAUCAUCCCAAACAACUUGCACAUACUUGAGAGAGAGUUUCUUCUUCUAGCUUCUUGGAUUCCUGUCUCGGCUUCUCAGUAUCACUACUCAUCCUUGAUCCUUAGCAGCUUCAAACACCAUGAACCUGCUUGAUCCUUGCAGCAUUCAACAUCUUGUUCAAUGCACAUCAGCUGUGAAAAUUCACCUUGCCGAACCUGAGCCAUUAGAACAUCUUCAUGUCACUUGAGUUGUGAAAACCAGCUCUAACACAAAUCUAUAUUAGGCUCAACUCAUCAGUGACUUCUCCUGGCACAUGCAGCACCUGAAUAUCUGAUAUAAAGCUCAAUAAACUCCAGUACCAAGCUUAGAAAACGUCCAGUUUGUUACUCCAACAGAAAAGUCCAUAAGCUUUAUCACUUAUGACUUCUCCAAUCACACAAUUCCUCCAUGGCUUCUGUCAUAACCAUAAGCAUGUUUCAGUGACUGAGAAAAUACCAAUACCACCUCUGCAAAUCUUGAUUCACUUGCUAGCUUCUAGGAUUUCCUCAUGCGCGUUGAGAUCAAAACCCUUUGAAUUCACUUGAAUCAAAUGCAGAAAUAACAGAAUCAUCUUAGCUUCUAGCUUGAAGCUUCUUGAUUCAACUUGCAGUCAAUCUCACCAAUAGCUUACACUAUCUGAGAUUCACAUCUUCAACCUGUUUAACCAAGCAAUCCCAGAACAGAACCCUGCUCCACCAUCUUGUUAAAACAGAACACACUAACAGCUUGAAAAAACCCACUACUAGCAACCUUGCAUAUGUCUCUUAUCAACAACUUCUUGUGACAUCCCUGAGACACGUCCAUACAAUAGCUUACAUAUCAAUUCUAAAACCCUUGAUGUUUCUUUCAAGUUGUAAAGAACAACCUGCAAUACUUCUUCUUGUAUGCAGCCUCCACCAAAACAAAUCCGGUUCUUGCAUUAUUCAGUUUGCAGUCAUUAACCGACAUUCUUCUUCCUGAAUAUCAUUAACUUUACUUGUCUGCAACUGACUUCCCAUGAGUAGACACUUAUGUAGACUCCUCAUGAUGCAACUAAGACAACUUCACGCUCCUGAGUUGUUGUCUUUCUAAUGCAGCUUGAUCUCUGCAUUCUUCAUCCUUUCAGGACUUCUUUUUCAGGUUCUGACACUUCACUUGAGAUGAAUUAUCCAUCAGACUUGAUACACGACACCUUCACAUUCUUGAAGUGAGCAUCCUUGACACAUAACCAUGUAUCAUCUGCACUUGUCUACUUCAGUUUCUUCUUUAUAGAACUCACUGAAAAAAAAAAAACUACUUCAAUUGCUUCAUCUCACAACACAGCUUUGUGUCUUUUCUCUGAAAAACUUUCAGAAACCUGCAACCCACUUGUAGAAACCUGCAACUCUGUUUCUCUAAGCCUGCAACUCGUUUCUGAUUAUCCUGAUCAACACCCAGCUUCAAAUCAAAUCUGAAAACAACCUGUUACCAUCAGAUUAUAGCCUUUCUUGAGCUGAAUACCAGUUGACACACCAUCAGUUCUUCACUUGUUUUCUUCUUUGCACAAAGAACUUCAAUGAAUCUAAUACAACAGCGAGAUGCUUAACCCUUUAACUCUUUUAUCUUCAGCUAAACACUUGAGAAAACCUCCAAAUAUAGCUCCACCAGGAAUAGAAAAAAUAUCAUUUAAGAUAUGCAUUGCUCUUCUUGUAGCAAUAAUGUUCCACCUGAAACUAUAACCACUUGGACAUACUCUGUCUCUAUCUCAGCUUCACAAUCAGAGUUAAAACCACUCUUUCAUGUAUCUUUGAUCCACAAACACAUUCUUAUGUAUCAGAUUGAGUCACAAUGACUUCUUGCUUGAGAAAGUGUGCCAAAACCUGUGACACAUCUUCUUCCUUCUUGCAGCCCAACUGAUCCAUUUGCAACCAGAAAACCCUCAAGAACUUUCUUUCUUCCAGCAGUACUGUCUCUUAAAGCAUUCUUCAUGUUGUGAUGAUGUUACAACUUAGGCUGAUACAUCAACAAACCAUGCUUCUAUAAAUCUUGUACUCUCUUGUCGCCAAAAAUACAACCAUACUUGUCUUGUACCGCUGUUGAUAAACAGGACACGCCGCCUAACUCCUCUAGCUAGGAAGACUUUCGAUACCAGAUUGUAUCAUGUUGCAUAAAAAAUGCAUUCAAAGACAAUCCUCAUGAGUCAUGAUGUCUCCAAUGCCUUCAGCUUCUAGACCACCAGAAUCUUCUUCAACCUCUGAAGAUCUGAUUCAAAUACAAGAUAACCUUCUGAGAAAACAAUGCUCCACCUGAGAUAGUACUCCUUAUUCACCAAGAUUCAAUCCAGCAGAAAACUCCAUGUGUUACACCAAACACAAAUUUUCUUAAGAAACAUGAAUCUUCGCUACUUCCAUCUUGUCAAGAGCUUACACUACUUGAAACAAGAACUCGAACAAUCCUCUGUAUACACUCAAGCUCACAAGAGCUCAACCUUCAUUGCAUCCCUCUGAAAAUAGCAAUGAAACUGAGUGUUACACCUUAUGUUCACCAUAACAUUUUCAGACCGCUACAAGAGCUUAAUCAUCAUUGCAUUCCCUCUAAAAAUAGCAAUCAUGUAGCUUCAUGUUCUCUGAUGAAACACCGCCUGUAGACUGUCAUAUUCACAAGAACUGAUAGCUAACACCCUGAGAUAAAACCUGCAGCAAGAAACCCCAUCCAAAAACUCAAUAGCCACUGAAAUUUCCAUAAAUGUUUCUGCCUUUGACAAACAGAAAACAUGCCCUGCUCCAUAACCAUUCUGCAUCCUCCUCUAAACUGACCCAAAAAAUAUCCUUACAGAUACUCACACAGCCAUAAAACACUCAUCAAGUCCAAGGUUUUAGACGUCCUUGAACUUUCUGAGUUUCCGGGCUGGAAACAGAAUAAGCUCAAAACACCAAUUGUAGCUGACUUCGACAAACUGAUUCAUCCAAAGAAUACCCUGAAAACCAUCACUGAAUCUUGGCCAAUCCCAUGCAAAACCAGUACCAGAUCACUGUGUUCCAACAGGCUUCCAAUCCCCAUAGAUAUGCAGAACUUGAGCAACUUGAAACUUCACUACAAAGCAUCACAACACCUUGUGACUGCAGCGGAAUCAGACUUUAGAAGUCUCAGAAAACUUGAGUCUUGAAGUUGAUGUUCGGUUUUGAUAUAAACCAUUGAGUAACAGAACAUGUACUCAUCAUUUCAUAACCCCAAAACCAGCUGAUAUCUCUGAAAUAUCUCCAGCUUACACCAAUCUUCGAUCGGUUUCUUCAGCAUUGAUCAAGAACUCUCUUCUUGUAUCAUGUGCUUCUUGCUUCUAUCUCUGAUAAUUUUCUUCUGCUUGCUACACUUCAGCUUGUGAGAAUUUUGUCAUCCUUCUCACAGUGUCGCAGCUUCUUGUAUCUUAGAGGUCUCUUGAUUUCAUAGCCCUUGAAAUCACCUCAACUGAUUCACACUUUCACCAUGAAUCACUCCUUAAGAUACAACUUGUUCACAUCCCAUCUUCACACUAUAACCUGAGCUAAACCGGUUUUAUAACCACUUGAGCUUCUCAAGAACCUUAUGUUACUCCACCUAAGAUCUAACUGGAUCCUUGAUUGAGUAGAGAUAACCUCUUACCAAAGUUGUCUCUGUUUCUGAAACAGAAAACUGCAUUUUCAACAGAAAAAUCUGCAACUUCUUUGGUUCUUCUUGUUCUUCAAGAUGUGUGAAUGAGAUGCUUCCAUGUACACCAGAAUGAGCCUUAUAACUCCUUCCUCUCACGUGCUGUUCACCAAUAGACAGCUUGUCUUUCAGCCUGAGACAUUCAAGUCUCCAUACCUUCCUCAAAACCUGAGAAAUACCAUGAUGCUUCACCAAGAAAGAGUCUUAAGGCUUCUUCCUCUCUUUAGCAUCAUUUAC